CCUCCGAAGUUUCCCUCAGGAUAGCUGGCGCUCUCGCAGGAAAAAACGGGGCAGUUUUAUCCGGUAAAGCGAAUGAUUAGAGGUCUUGGGGCCGAAACGAUCUCAAC
RNAcentral lists this microRNA precursor (107 nucleotides) under Echinops telfairi (small Madagascar hedgehog). RNAcentral describes it as "miRNA (ENSETEG00000025461.1)". It matches the Rfam family "Eukaryotic large subunit ribosomal RNA", at positions 958 to 1051 of the family's 3401-position model. Lineage: Eukaryota; Metazoa; Chordata; Mammalia; Afrosoricida; Tenrecidae. The record is from RNAcentral.